AAGUGGAGCAAUCCAUGAGUAAAGUGGCGACCGGGUGAGUAACAUGUGACUAACCUACCUUCGAGUGGGGAAUAACCUCGGGAAUCCGGGGCUAAUACCGCAUAAUGUCUUCGGUCCAAAGGAGCAAUUCGUUGGAAGAGGGGGUCGCGGCCGAUUAUCUAGUUGGCGGGGUAACGGCCCACCAAGGCAAUGAUCGGUAGCCGGCCUGAGAGGGCGCACGGCCACACUGGAACUGAAACACGGUCCAGACUCCUACGGGAGGCAGCAGUGGGGAAUUUUGCGCAAUGGGGGAAACCCUGACGCAGCAACGCCGCGUGGAGGAUGAAGCCCCUUGGG
Molecule: ribosomal RNA, 336 nt
Filed under: uncultured bacterium
Lineage: Bacteria
Description: bacterial SSU rRNA
Rfam family: Bacterial small subunit ribosomal RNA
Source: RNAcentral